This 246-nucleotide long non-coding RNA is filed under the name Lathyrus oleraceus (garden pea). RNAcentral's name for it is "Pisum sativum (pea) long non-coding RNA (PSAT_LNC023275)". The record is from RNAcentral. Lineage: Eukaryota; Viridiplantae; Streptophyta; Magnoliopsida; Fabales; Fabaceae.
AUUCAAUCACUACAUCCUGAUCAACACUCACCAGAGGUAUGGCUUCGAUCCACUUAGUAAAGUAGUUUAUACCCACUAGGAUGUGCUUAUGAUUUUUUGAAGUUGUUGGUCGAAUCUCCCCAACCAAAUCCAAUGCCUAACCUCUGAAGGGCCAAGGAUUCAUAAUAGAGUGUAAUUCACUUGCAGGAACAUGUUGUAUACCCGCAUGCCUUUGGAACUUCUGGCAUCCUUUGGUGAACUCGAUAC